Piliocolobus tephrosceles (Ugandan red Colobus) is the source of this 476-nucleotide long non-coding RNA. RefSeq lists it as uncharacterized. NCBI's taxonomy places the organism in Eukaryota, Metazoa, Chordata, Mammalia, Primates, Cercopithecidae. The record is from RefSeq and is a predicted model, not a curated record. The transcript is spliced from 2 exons.
AAAAAAAAAAAAAGAAAGAAAGAAAAGAAAAGAAACUGCAGAGGGACACGGCACAGGGCUGAGGGGGAGCUGAGGCUGGGGAGCGCCCCGGCAGGAGAGCCCGGAGGAGAGAUGACGUUUACCUGCACCCUGGAGUGGGACCAGCCAUGCCAGGCAGGCAGACUGCCGCUUCCUCAAGGAGUCACUCUGGGUUGAAACAGAAAGCGGUCAGAAGCAGUUGGUGCUCUCUGUUGGGAUUAGAGCUAAGAAGAAAAGAAGUCCAUACAGUCACUUCUACAGUAUGACAAAAUGUUCCCUCUUGAUCAGUCAUUUUAUGACCCAAGGUCACAGCUCUUGGAAAAUUUUAUUGUAGCUUGACAAACUCUCCGUGUCAACUCCACAUUACAAGAUCUUUCAUUUCUUCAAUUAAACAACUGGAAAUGGAUACCAUCCACGCUGUCUGAUUUAUGAUGUCAAUAAAGCUCAUUAUGGUCACA